GCCCGCUUAGCUUAGAGGUUAGAGCAUGGCAAUACAAAUGCGAUGACCAUCGGUUCGAUUCCAAUAGCCAGCU
Brassica oleracea var. oleracea is the source of this 73-nucleotide transfer RNA. It matches the Rfam family "tRNA". From Rfam's summary of the family: Transfer RNA (tRNA) molecules are approximately 80 nucleotides in length. The record is from Rfam. NCBI's taxonomy places the organism in Eukaryota, Viridiplantae, Streptophyta, Magnoliopsida, Brassicales, Brassicaceae.